GAUGAACGCUGGCGGCGUGCCUAAUACAUGCAAGUCGAGCGAACGGACGAGAAGCUUGCUUUUCUGAUGUUAGCGGCGGACGGGUGAGUAACACGUGGAUAACCUACCUAUAAGACUGGGAUAACUUCGGGAAACCGGAGCUAAUACCGGAUAAUAUUUUGAACCGCAUGGUUCAAAAGUGAAAGACGGUCUUGCUGUCACUUAUAGAUGGUUCCGCGCUGCAUUAGCUAGUUGGUAAGGUAACGGCUUACCAAGGCAGCGAUGCAUAGCCGACCGGCGAGAGUGAUCGGCCACACGGGAACGGAGACACGGUCCAGACUACUACGAGAGGCAGCAGUAGGGAAUGGUCCGCAAUGGGCGAGAGCCUGACGGAGCAGCGCCGCGUGUGUGAUGAAGGUCUUCGGAUCGGAAAACUCUGUUAUUAGGGAAGAACGUAUGUGUAAGUAACUGUGCACAGCUUGACGGUACCUAAUCAGAAAGCCACGGCUAACUACGUG
RNAcentral lists this ribosomal RNA (497 nucleotides) under uncultured bacterium. Its description in RNAcentral is "partial 16S ribosomal RNA". It matches the Rfam family "Bacterial small subunit ribosomal RNA", at positions 28 to 507 of the family's 1533-position model. The record is from RNAcentral.